AACACAUGCAAGUCGAGCGGCCAGCACAGAGGAACUUGUUCCUUGGGUGGCGAGCGGCGGACGGGUGAGUAAUGCCUAGGAAAUUGCCCUGAUGUGGGGGAUAACCAUUGGAAACGAUGGCUAAUACCGCAUGAUGCCUACGGGCCAAAGAGGGGGACCUUCGGGCCUCUCGCGUCAGGAUAUGCCUAGGUGGGAUUAGCUAGUUGGUGAGGUAAUGGCUCACCAAGGCGACGAUCCCUAGCUGGUCUGAGAGGAUGAUCAGCCACACUGGAACUGAGACACGGUCCAGACUCCUACGGGAGGCAGCAGUGGGGAAUAUUGCACAAUGGGCGCAAGCCUGAUGCAGCCAUGCCGCGUGUAUGAAGAAGGCCUUCGGGUUGUAAAGUACUUUCAGUCGUGAGGAAGGUGGUGUUGUUAAUAGCAGCAUCAUUUGACGUUAGCGACAGAAGAAGCACCGGCUAACUCCGUGCCAGCAGCCGCGGUAAUACGGAGGGUGCGAGCGUUAAUCGGAAUUACUGGGCGUAAAGCGCAUGCAGGUGGUGGAUUAAGUCAGAUGUGAAAGCCCGGGGCUCAACCUCGGAACCGCAUUUGAAACUGGUUCACUAGAGUACUGUAGAGGGGGGUAGAAUUUC
RNAcentral lists this ribosomal RNA (632 nucleotides) under uncultured Vibrio sp. Its description in RNAcentral is "bacterial SSU rRNA". It matches the Rfam family "Bacterial small subunit ribosomal RNA", at positions 50 to 670 of the family's 1533-position model. The record is from RNAcentral. Lineage: Bacteria; Pseudomonadati; Pseudomonadota; Gammaproteobacteria; Vibrionales; Vibrionaceae.